This 321-nucleotide ribosomal RNA is filed under the name uncultured marine eukaryote. Its description in RNAcentral is "bacterial SSU rRNA". It matches the Rfam family "Eukaryotic small subunit ribosomal RNA", at positions 619 to 948 of the family's 1831-position model. The record is from RNAcentral.
UUAAAAAGCUCGUAGUUGGAUUUCUGCUUGAGAGGGACGCAGGCGUCAUUGACGUUUAGUCUGACUUCUCGUGCUCCUGUCGCGAACCACGUUGCUCUUAAUUGAGUGGCGUCGGGAUCGAUUCGUUUACUUUGAGGAAAAUAGAGUGUUCAAAGCAGGCUUACGCAUCUGAAUAAGUUAGCAUGGAAUAAUGAUAAAGGACUUUGGUUCUAUUUGUUGGUGUUCGGAACUGAAGUAAUGAUUGAUAGGGACAGUUGGGGGCAUCAGUAUUUCGAAGCGAGAGGUGAAAUUCUAGGACCUUCGAAAGACUAACCGCUGCGA